Long non-coding RNA from Cyanistes caeruleus (blue tit), 1693 nucleotides. The record is from Ensembl. NCBI's taxonomy places the organism in Eukaryota, Metazoa, Chordata, Aves, Passeriformes, Paridae.
AUGUGGGGAAUUUUCUCCUUCUCACCCUACUUGGGAGGAUGGGAGCUUCUGUCUUCCUUGGGAGAAGUACAGUUGCUGCCAAGGGAAACACAGCUGAGGAGCAGUAGUGACCCAGCCUUCCCUUUGCUUCCUUUCUUCUUCCCUCCCUGCUGCACAGCUCCUUGGUGCCAGAAGCGCAGUGCUGCCUCACCUGAGGAUUCAGAGCUGCCUCCAGGCCCUUCCAGGACAAGUCCAGAUCCUCAAGGGCGUGAAGCUUCCCCAGCACGUGCCAAGAAAGUGUUUGCUCCAUCUGGACUUGGGGUUUCAUCAGGCCAGCCAGGCACACACAAAUUUCAAUUCCAGCCAGAGCUCAUGACUCCAGCAUUUCCUGCGCACCAUCAAAGCACUUCUGCGGCCUCUCCAGAGAGCAGCAGCUGCACUUCUCCAGAGCAGCACUUGCCAGCCAACAUCCCAUCAGCUGCCCCGGGCACUUCAGUCCCCAGUGCUCCAGCUGGCAGUGCUGGUUAUGCAGCAUGGAGAGCCCCAAGCUGGGUCUGGAGUACUCCUGGGGAAGAGGAAUUGCCACCGCUGGAUCUGGACCUUGUUCUGGAGACACUGGAGGAGAUGCUUUCACCAUCUGUGCCUGAAAGGUCUCCCUCUGCUCAGGUAACUCCAUUGGACAGGGAUGAGAGGGGCUGGACUGAGAGCUUCUGAAUGUUGUUGCAUGGCUGAGAAGCAAAGGCUUCUUGAAUUCAGCUGGGAAUGGACAUGGAAGGAUUUGCUUGGUCAAGCAAGAUUUGCUAAGGAAGAGGGAAUGAAAAGGGGGGAUAGCCCUUAAGUGAGGAUGAGAGGUGUUUGCCAGGUUUGGAUGCUCCUUUUUCUGGGAAGAACUGCCCAUAUCUUCUUGCCAAGCACGAUGACCUUUUGUCUCCUGCAAACUCCCGCAUAGCAGCUUUCAAAAGCAAUUUGUUGGUGCACAGAAGGAAAUCUGGCAGGCUCUGAUUGUAUCCCUGCAGAAUCUAUUGGUUGAUCUUUGCGUUUCCUUCUUUCUGUUUUUCUUUUCAGGUCAAUGCUAGUGUUGCCCGUGGCUCUUCAGGAGGGGAGGCUGUGAACAAGGCUGCAGCAGAGGGAGCUUUGCCUGCUUGCGGGAGCUGUGUAAACAUUUGCCAGGAGCCCGAGGAGCUUGGUAAGGAGUGAGCCCAGCGUGGUUUAGAGAGAUGGGAGACAGCUGCUCUGAGCCUGCCUCUGACAGGAAGAGAGAUGAGAAGAGUUGAGUUCUUGUCUGCAGCAGGGUUGGUGCUUCCUGGUGCUUUUAGUUCCAAUCCUGCACUGGCACAAGCUCCCCGAGCCCUGCCCCUCCAUGCUUUUCCCAGAGGCUCUGACACCGAGUCCUCUGCUGUGGCAAGAGAGCCGGCAAGAAACCUGAGCUGGUGGCAGUUGUGUCACCAAGCUGCGUGUCCCAAUUGGUUCCCAGCUCACAGCAGCCUUCAGCUUCAGCCACUGCAGUGAGGACUGACGUCUCUGCGUCAGCCCAGAGAAAGAACAAGGCUGGGCUUCUUUGUGGCAGCUGGCACUGUCUGUGUUUCAAGCUCUCAGGGGUGCCAUUUGCACUGGGAGGGUUGUGAAUUGAUUGGCGUACUUCAAAACUUCACAAGACUGGAAAACUUGGAAGGAUCCCUGUUCCCUUUAAAGAGCAGGCUUCAGAUUCUCAAGU